RNAcentral lists this ribosomal RNA (321 nucleotides) under Escherichia coli. RNAcentral describes it as "bacterial SSU rRNA". It matches the Rfam family "Bacterial small subunit ribosomal RNA", at positions 650 to 970 of the family's 1533-position model. The record is from RNAcentral. Lineage: Bacteria; Pseudomonadati; Pseudomonadota; Gammaproteobacteria; Enterobacterales; Enterobacteriaceae.
CGUAGAGGGGGGUAGAAUUCCAGGUGUAGCGGUGAAAUGCGUAGAGAUCUGGAGGAAUACCGGUGGCGAAGGCGGCCCCCUGGACGAAGACUGACGCUCAGGUGCGAAAGCGUGGGGAGCAAACAGGAUUAGAUACCCUGGUAGUCCACGCCGUAAACGAUGUCGACUUGGAGGUUGUGCCCUUGAGGCGUGGCUUCCGGAGCUAACGCGUUAAGUCGACCGCCUGGGGAGUACGGCCGCAAGGUUAAAACUCAAAUGAAUUGACGGGGGCCCGCACAAGCGGUGGAGCAUGUGGUUUAAUUCGAUGCAACGCGAAGAACC